This 754-nucleotide ribosomal RNA is filed under the name Bacillus thuringiensis. Its description in RNAcentral is "bacterial SSU rRNA". It matches the Rfam family "Bacterial small subunit ribosomal RNA", at positions 46 to 781 of the family's 1533-position model. Lineage: Bacteria; Bacillati; Bacillota; Bacilli; Caryophanales; Bacillaceae. The record is from RNAcentral.
GCUAAUACAUGCAAGUCGAGCGAAUGGAUUAAGAGCUUGCUCUUAUGAAGUUAGCGGCGGACGGGUGAGUAACACGUGGGUAACCUGCCCAUAAGACUGGGAUAACUCCGGGAAACCGGGGCUAAUACCGGAUAACAUUUUGAACCGCAUGGUUCGAAAUUGAAAGGCGGCUUCGGCUGUCACUUAUGGAUGGACCCGCGUCGCAUUAGCUAGUUGGUGAGGUAACGGCUCACCAAGGCAACGAUGCGUAGCCGACCUGAGAGGGUGAUCGGCCACACUGGGACUGAGACACGGCCCAGACUCCUACGGGAGGCAGCAGUAGGGAAUCUUCCGCAAUGGACGAAAGUCUGACGGAGCAACGCCGCGUGAGUGAUGAAGGCUUUCGGGUCGUAAAACUCUGUUGUUAGGGAAGAACAAGUGCUAGUUGAAUAAGCUGGCACCUUGACGGUACCUAACCAGAAAGCCACGGCUAACUACGUGCCAGCAGCCGCGGUAAUACGUAGGUGGCAAGCGUUAUCCGGAAUUAUUGGGCGUAAAGCGCGCGCAGGUGGUUUCUUAAGUCUGAUGUGAAAGCCCACGGCUCAACCGUGGAGGGUCAUUGGAAACUGGGAGACUUGAGUGCAGAAGAGGAAAGUGGAAUUCCAUGUGUAGCGGUGAAAUGCGUAGAGAUAUGGAGGAACACCAGUGGCGAAGGCGACUUUCUGGUCUGUAACUGACACUGAGGCGCGAAAGCGUGGGGAGCAAACAGGAUUAG